Molecule: ribosomal RNA, 253 nt
Filed under: uncultured bacterium
Lineage: Bacteria
Description: partial 16S ribosomal RNA
Rfam family: Bacterial small subunit ribosomal RNA
Source: RNAcentral
UACGUAGGGUGCAAGCGUUAAUCGGAAUUACUGGGCGUAAAGCGUGCGCAGGCGGUUGUGUAAGACAGAUGUGAAAUCCCCGGGCUUAACCUGGGAAUUGCAUUUGUGACUGCACGGCUAGAGUGUGUCAGAGGGGGGUAGAAUUCCACGUGUAGCAGUGAAAUGCGUAGAUAUGUGGAGGAAUACCGAUGGCGAAGGCAGCCCCCUGGGAUAACACUGACGCUCAUGCACGAAAGCGUGGGGAGCAAACAGG